Molecule: ribosomal RNA, 229 nt
Filed under: uncultured bacterium
Lineage: Bacteria
Description: partial 16S ribosomal RNA
Rfam family: Bacterial small subunit ribosomal RNA
Source: RNAcentral
UCCGUAGGCGGGCAAUUAAGUCAGAGGUGAAAUCCCACAGCUCAACUGUGGAACUGCCUUUGAUACUGGUUGUCUUGAGUUACAGUGAAGUAGAUAGAAUAUGUAGUGUAGCGGUGAAAUGCAUAGAUAUUACAUAGAAUUCCGAUUGCGAAGGCAGUCUACUAACUGUAUACUGACGCUAAUGGACGAAAGCGUGGGGAGCGAACAGGAUUAGAUACCCUGGUAGUCC